Molecule: ribosomal RNA, 459 nt
Filed under: uncultured bacterium
Lineage: Bacteria
Description: partial 16S ribosomal RNA
Rfam family: Bacterial small subunit ribosomal RNA
Source: RNAcentral
CCUACGGGAGGCAGCAGUGAGGAAUAUUGGUCAAUGGCCGAGAGGCUGAACCAGCCAAGUCGCGUGAGGGAUGACGGCCCUACGGGUUGUAAACCUCUUUUGUCAGGGAGCAAGGUGCAGGUCGGGACCUGCUGUGAGAGUACCUGAAGAAAAAGCAUCGGCUAACUCCGUGCCAGCAGCCGCGGUAAUACGGAGGAUGCGAGCGUUAUCCGGAUUUAUUGGGUUUAAAGGGUGCGCAGGCGGAGGCACAAGUCAGCGGUAAAAUCGCGGGGCUCAACCCCGCUCCGCCGUUGAAACUGUGGCCCUUGAGUGCGCGAAGGGUAGGCGGAAUGCGUGGUGUAGCGGUGAAAUGCAUAGAUAUCACGCAGAACUCCGAUCGCGAAGGCAGCCUACCGGCGCGCAACUGACGCUCAUGCACGAAAGCGUGGGUAUCGAACAGGAUUAGAUACCCUGGUAGUC